This 554-nucleotide ribosomal RNA is filed under the name Colletotrichum sp. 3 EPU24FB. RNAcentral describes it as "eukaryotic LSU rRNA". The stretch from base 197 to 350 matches the Rfam family "5.8S ribosomal RNA". Lineage: Eukaryota; Fungi; Ascomycota; Sordariomycetes; Glomerellales; Glomerellaceae. The record is from RNAcentral.
GAGGGAUCAUUACUGAGUUACCGCUCUACAACCCUUUGUGAACAUACCUUAACUGUUGCUUCGGCGGGCAGGAGGACGACCCCCUCGGGGGUGCAGUCCCCCUCCCGGCCGCGCCCUCACGGGCGUGGCGCCCGCCGGAGGAUACCAAACUCUAUUUUAACGACGUUUCUUCUGAGUGGCACAAGCAAAUAAUUAAAACUUUUAACAACGGAUCUCUUGGUUCUGGCAUCGAUGAAGAACGCAGCGAAAUGCGAUAAGUAAUGUGAAUUGCAGAAUUCAGUGAAUCAUCGAAUCUUUGAACGCACAUUGCGCCCGCCAGCAUUCUGGCGGGCAUGCCUGUUCGAGCGUCAUUUCAACCCUCAAGCCCGGCUUGGUGUUGGGGCCCUACGUUUGACGUAGGCCCUUAAAGGUAGUGGCGGACCCUCCCGGAGCCUCCUUUGCGUAGUAACUUAACGUCUCGCACUGGGAUUCGGAGGGACUCUUGCCGUAAAACCCCCAAAACUUUUACAGGUUGACCUCGGAUCAGGUAGGAAUACCCGCUGAACUUAAGCAUA